GGAGCUGUAGCUCAGUGGCAGAGCAUUUGCUUUCUAUGCAGAAGAUCCCAAGUUCAAUCCCUGGCAUCUCCA
Molecule: non-coding RNA, 72 nt
Organism: Hemicordylus capensis (graceful crag lizard)
Lineage: Eukaryota; Metazoa; Chordata; Lepidosauria; Squamata; Cordylidae
Source: the annotation of a RefSeq genome assembly